CCUACGGGCGGCAGCAGUGAGGAAUAUUGGUCAAUGGCCGAGAGGCUGAACCAGCCAAGUCGCGUGAGUGAAGACGGCCCUACGGGUUGUAAACCUCUUUUGUCGGGGAGCAAAGAGAGUCACGGUGGACUCAUUUAGAGUACCCGAAGAAAAAGCAUCGGCUAACUCCGUGACCCCAGCCUCGGUACUACGGAGGAUGCGGGCGUUAUCCGGAUUUAUUGGGUGUCAAGGGUGCGCAGGCGGAGGAGCAAGUCAGCGGUCAAAUUGCGGGGCUCAACCCCGUACUGCCGUUGAAACUGCAUCCCUUGAGUGCGCGAGAAGUAUGCGGAAUGCGUGGUGUAGCGGUGAAAUGCAUAGAUAUCACGCAGAACUCCGAUUGCGAAGGCAGCAUACCGGCGCGCAACUGACGCUCAUGCACGAAAGCGUGGGUAUCGAACAGGAUUAGAUACCCCUGUAGUC
RNAcentral lists this ribosomal RNA (459 nucleotides) under uncultured bacterium. RNAcentral's name for it is "partial 16S ribosomal RNA". It matches the Rfam family "Bacterial small subunit ribosomal RNA", at positions 338 to 795 of the family's 1533-position model. The record is from RNAcentral.